AAUAGAUACCCCGGUAGUCCACGCCGUAAACGAUGAAUGCCAGUCGUCGGGUAGCAUGCUAUUCGGUGACACACCUAACGGAUUAAGCAUUCCGCCUGGGGAGUACGGUCGCAAGAUUAAAACUCAAAGGAAUUGACGGGGGCCCGGCACAGGCGGUGGAGCAUGUGGUUUAAUUCGAAGCAACGCGCAGAACCUUACCAACCCUUGACAUCCCUGGACAGCCCGAGAGAUCGGGUCUUCACUUCGGUGACCAGGAGACAGGUGCUGCAUGGCUGUCGUCAGCUCGUGUCGUGAGAUGUUCGGUUAAGUCCGGCAACGAGCGCAACCCACACUUUCAGUUGCCAGCAUUCAGUUGGGCACUCUGGAAGAACUGCCGAUGAUAAGUCGGAGGAAGGUGUGGAUGACGUCAAGUCCUCAUGGCCCUUACGGGUUGGGCUACACACGUGCUACAAUGGUGGUGACAGUGGGUUAAUCCCCAAAAGCCAUCUCAGUUCGGAUUGGGGUCUGCAACUCGACCCAUGAAGUUGG
Molecule: ribosomal RNA, 528 nt
Filed under: uncultured bacterium
Lineage: Bacteria
Description: bacterial SSU rRNA
Rfam family: Bacterial small subunit ribosomal RNA
Source: RNAcentral